GCGCUGGUAGUGUAGUGGUUAGCAUCCGAGCUUUCCAAGCUUGGGACGUGGGUUCAAAUCCCGCCCGGCGCA
RNAcentral lists this transfer RNA (72 nucleotides) under Candidatus Woesearchaeota archaeon. RNAcentral's name for it is "tRNA-Gly". It matches the Rfam family "tRNA". Rfam says of the family: Transfer RNA (tRNA) molecules are approximately 80 nucleotides in length. Lineage: Archaea; Nanobdellati; Candidatus Woesearchaeota. The record is from RNAcentral.